Molecule: long non-coding RNA, 542 nt
Organism: Helianthus annuus (common sunflower)
Lineage: Eukaryota; Viridiplantae; Streptophyta; Magnoliopsida; Asterales; Asteraceae
Exons: 3
Source: RefSeq, a predicted model, not a curated record
GGUCGUUCGAGAAAGAGAGCAGGCAAAAGAAAGGUGAAACCCUAGCUUCAAGAAAUCAAGAAUCAAAGCCAAAUACAUAAGAUAAUCCGGUGCAUGAACCCUCCUUGCGAAAAUCUAACCCUAAUUUGUUAGUGGCGUGAAGGAGGAAGGUUCCAAUACUAGGAAAUUGGAAGGUUCACAAGAUCGAGGUAAAACACCUCUAUAGGCGAUUUGGAGAUAUGGAGCGAGCACGUAUUCAAGCCUUAUUAUACCAAGCGCUUCCGCUAGUUUAUAUGCAUACUUUUGGGUUCACGUUUUGUUACUUUGAUUAAAUCUUGUUAGAAGUCUUAUACUUGAAAACUUCUUGUUUUUGUUUGGGAUAGUUUAAUGUUAAUAGGGUCGUAAGUGAAUGUCGUCUAUUAUGUCAAAACAGGGGGUAUGUCCGUAUUACAAACGGGUCAUGCCCAAAUUUUGUAAAAAUUCCUACUAUGUGUCAAAAUUGGUAUUUUGAUGUCCGAAAAAUUAUUCUUUUGUAAGUAAUCUAACAUUAUGGAAAAGCGGAC